RNAcentral lists this transfer RNA (73 nucleotides) under Pirellulaceae bacterium. RNAcentral describes it as "tRNA-Glu". It matches the Rfam family "tRNA". Rfam says of the family: Transfer RNA (tRNA) molecules are approximately 80 nucleotides in length. Their secondary structure includes four short double-helical elements and three loops (D, anti-codon, and T loops). Lineage: Bacteria; Pseudomonadati; Planctomycetota; Planctomycetia; Pirellulales; Pirellulaceae. The record is from RNAcentral.
GGCCCCUUCGUUCAGUGGUUUAGGACUCCGGCCUUUCACGCCGGCAACACGGGUUCGAAUCCCGUAGGGGUCA